RNAcentral lists this ribosomal RNA (366 nucleotides) under uncultured Latescibacterota bacterium. RNAcentral describes it as "bacterial SSU rRNA". It matches the Rfam family "Bacterial small subunit ribosomal RNA", at positions 1006 to 1382 of the family's 1533-position model. Lineage: Bacteria; Pseudomonadati; Candidatus Latescibacterota. The record is from RNAcentral.
AACGGUAGGGUCGUCGUCGACUAGGCGGUCGUCGUCGUACGGCUCGUGUCGUGAGAUGUUGGGUUAAGUCCCGCAACGAGCGCAACCCUUAUCCCUAGUUGCCAUCAGGUAAAGCUGGGAACUCUGGGGAGACUGCCGGUGAUAAACCGGAGGAAGGCGGGGAUGACGUCAAGUCCUCAUGGCCCUUACAUCCCGGGCUACACACGUGCUACAAUGGCAGGUACAGAGGGCUGCGAAGCCGCGAGGUGGAGCGAAUCCCAGAAAACCUGUCUCAGUCCGGAUUGAAGUCUGCAACUCGACUUCAUGAAGGCGGAAUCGCUAGUAACCGCGAAUCAGCAGGUCGCGGUGAAUACGUUCCCGGGCCUU